Long non-coding RNA from Amblyraja radiata (thorny skate), 129 nucleotides. RefSeq lists it as uncharacterized. The transcript is spliced from 3 exons. NCBI's taxonomy places the organism in Eukaryota, Metazoa, Chordata, Chondrichthyes, Rajiformes, Rajidae. The record is from RefSeq and is a predicted model, not a curated record.
ACACUUAGUGUGUGAGGCAGAGAAGGUUAGCACUCGGACACAAAAUGUAGGGGAGAAAGAAGAAAAAGAUAAUAAACAGAGAAUACGAGGGGGUGGGUUUCUUAAAUGUGUGACAGAGAUACAGAGGGG